UCCGGUUAUGGUGUAGUGGCUAACAUUAUCGCCUCUCAUGUGUCCCAACCGAGUGAACUCGCGCGAUAGCCCAGGGUUCGAUUCCCUGUAACGGAA
Molecule: non-coding RNA, 96 nt
Organism: Paramarasmius palmivorus
Lineage: Eukaryota; Fungi; Basidiomycota; Agaricomycetes; Agaricales; Marasmiaceae
Source: the annotation of a GenBank genome assembly